Molecule: long non-coding RNA, 1287 nt
Organism: Danaus plexippus (monarch butterfly)
Lineage: Eukaryota; Metazoa; Arthropoda; Insecta; Lepidoptera; Nymphalidae
Exons: 2
Source: RefSeq, a predicted model, not a curated record
ACCUGUACGGUCAUCAGUUUCUCCGAUUUCUGAUAGCGGCGCUGACUCACUGGACUGUAUAUGGUGGCUUCGAAUGCCGAAUAAAGAGAGGCGAACGCGUAUGAGUAAUGUUUUAGUAAGUAAUUGUUCGUGAACGAAUUCUGGUUGACGUGGCGCGAGGCCGUGUAUGUGUGACAUGGUGUGUUGGACCCAUCGCUGGGUGUGCUACGAGUGACGCGAUAAGGAAAACAAACAGGCCCGACGGGCUCUACGCAAAUAUUUGUAGGCAUCGGCGUCGAGUGCACCAGACACCCUCCCCCACACCCUCCACCGGCUCGACCUACUCUCUGCGCGGCUGGAUGUGUCGCACCCCAGCCUCGGCGUGCUAUUAAGCCAUAUCUACGGUAGCUGAGAUAUCGCGAUACCAUCCCCGAUAUGGAGUAAUUAUCAGAUAGAAGGCCCACAGAUUUGAUUACGAGAGUGCGUAUCUUCGCCAUUGACUCAUUACCAGCGACACUCCGCUUGGAGAUAGACCAUCACCAGAGAGCAGACGACGCUUCUCUCUCUCGGAUUUCGAUUUCUGUGCAUGUGCAGUGUCUGUAGUGUCGGUGAUGUGCGUGGUGUCCGUGGUGUCAGUGGUGUCAGUGGUGUCGGAGAGUGGCGGUAGGCAGGCAGGUCGCAUGUGAUCCGAUAAGUAGGUCCUAGAGUGAGGCGGCGCCGAUCGUAAUCCCCUCGCGAUCUGAUAACUUCGACACGUCCACGGAUUAUUGAUGGACGACGUUCGACCUCGUCAUCGUCUUAUCACUUGUUUUUUUCGUCGAAUAUGUUCCGUAAAAAGCUAAUAAAGUGCGAGAGGUGAGGUGCGAGGGGAUCGGUCCCCGCGGCUCCGGGUUGCGGGCUGCGGGGUGCGGGGGUGGACACGUGACGCGAUGAGCUCGAUAAGACGCCAUAUUGUUUCAGCAGUACGUUCAAAACACCUUCCCCCCCUUCUGCCGACUACCCCUCAGCCUUUUCAAAGCUGAAUCACGAAUAGCGGUCGUGUUCAAUUACUCAUAAAUAGCAGCUUAGUACCUACGGCAAAUUUAUUAACAGAUUGACACCAGUCAUUGUAAAAGAUCGCUGCGUUAACAACCUGCCAGGAGAGACGAAAAGACGAAGAGCGCGGCCUCCCCUUGUGUUCAACACAUGAACGGGGUUAUUGUUGGAAAGUGAACUGUAGUCGUAUAUGAAAUUCGAUGAGCUCAUACAGGAGCCGAGACACUCGACGCGCUCAUUGUGAUGUUAUCAUUAUUAAAAAUAUUUAAAUCU